RNAcentral lists this ribosomal RNA (431 nucleotides) under uncultured bacterium. RNAcentral describes it as "bacterial SSU rRNA". It matches the Rfam family "Bacterial small subunit ribosomal RNA", at positions 917 to 1344 of the family's 1533-position model. The record is from RNAcentral.
GGGCCCGCACAAGCGGUGGAGUAUGUGGCUUAAUUCGAUGCAACGCGAAGAACCUUACCUGGCCUUGACAUGUAGUGGCCCGGGUGCGAAAUCACCCUUUUCUUCGGAACUGCUACACAGGUGCUGCAUGGCUGUCGUCAGCUCGUGUCGUGAGAUGUUGGGUUAAGUCCCGCAACGAGCGCAACCCCCGUGUUCUGUUGCCACCCGGAUGAGAAUCCGGAGCACUCUGGACAGACUGCCUGGUUUCAACCAGGAGGAAGGUGGGGAUGACGUCAAGUCAGUAUGGCCCUUACGGCCAGGGCUGCACACGUACUACAAUGCCCGGUACAAUGGGAAGCGAGACCGCGAGGUGGAGCAAAUCCUAAAAACCGGGCCCAGUUCAGAUUGUAGGCUGCAACUCGCCUACAUGAAGGAGGAAUCGCUAGUAAUCG